This 253-nucleotide ribosomal RNA is filed under the name uncultured bacterium. RNAcentral's name for it is "partial 16S ribosomal RNA". It matches the Rfam family "Bacterial small subunit ribosomal RNA", at positions 524 to 776 of the family's 1533-position model. The record is from RNAcentral.
UACAGAGGUCCCAAGCGUUGUUCGGAUUUAUUGGGCGUAAAGGGUGCGUAGGCGGCAAUGUAAGUUGGAUGUGAAAUCCUGGGGCUUAACCUCAGAAUUGCAUUCAAUACUGCGUUGCUUGAGCGCUGUAGAGGAGAUUGGAAUUUACGGUGUAGCAGUGAAAUGCGUAGAUAUCAGGAGGAACACCAAUGGCGAAGGCAGCUCGCUGGGACGUGACUGACGCUGAGACGCGAAAGCGUGGGGAGCAAACAGG